UACGGAGGGUGCAAGCGUUGCUCGGAAUCACUGGGCGUAAAGUGACCGCAGGCGGCCUGACAAGUCGGAUGUGAAAGCCCUGGGCUCAACUCAGGAAUUGCAUUCGAAACUGGUAGGCUCGAGUACGGCAGAGGGGGGUAGAAUUCCACGUGUAGCAGUGAAAUGCGUAGAGAUGUGGAGGAAUACCGAUGGCGAAGGCAGCCCCCUGGACCUGUACUGACGCUCAUGCACGAAAGCGUGGGGAGCAAACAGG
Molecule: ribosomal RNA, 253 nt
Filed under: uncultured bacterium
Lineage: Bacteria
Description: partial 16S ribosomal RNA
Rfam family: Bacterial small subunit ribosomal RNA
Source: RNAcentral